RNAcentral lists this ribosomal RNA (468 nucleotides) under uncultured bacterium. RNAcentral describes it as "partial 16S ribosomal RNA". It matches the Rfam family "Bacterial small subunit ribosomal RNA", at positions 28 to 507 of the family's 1533-position model. The record is from RNAcentral.
GACGAACGCUGGCGGCGUGCUUAACACAUGCGAGUCGAACGGAAAGGCCCUGCUUUUGUGGGGUGCUCGAGUGGCGAACGGGUGAGUAACACGUGAGUAACCUGCCCUUGACUUUGGGAUAACUUCAGGAAACUGGGGCUAAUACCGGAUAGGAGCUCCUGCUGCAUGGGGGGGGUUGGAAAGUUUCGGCGGUUGGGGAUGGACUCGCGGCUUAUCAGCUUGUUGGUGGGGUAGUGGCGUACCAAGGCUUUGACGGGUAGCCGGCCUGAGAGGGUGACCGGCCACAUUGGGACUGAGAUACGGCCCAGACUCCUACGGGAGGCAGCAGUGGGGAAUAUUGCACAAUGGGCGGAAGCCUGAUGCAGCAACGCCGCGUGCGGGAUGACGGCCUUCGGGUUGUAAACCGCUUUCGCCUGUGACGAAGCGUGAGUGACGGUAAUGGGUAAAGAAGCACCGGCUAACUACGUG